AUGAACGCUGGCGGCGUGCCUAAUACCUGCCAGUCGCGCGAACAGACGAGGAGCUUGCUCCUCUGACGUUAGCGGCGGACGGGUGAGUAACACGUGGAUAACCUACCUAUAAGACUGGGAUAACUUCGGGAAACCGGAGCUAAUACCGGAUAAUAUACUGAACCGCAUGGUUCAAUAGUGAAAGACGGUUUUGCUGUCACUUAUAGAUGGAUCCGCGCCGCAUUAGCUAGUUGGUAAGGUAACGGCUUACCAAGGCAACGAUGCGUAGCCGACCUGAGAGGGUGAUCGGCCACACUGGAACUGAGACACGGUCCAGACUCCUACGGGAGGCAGCAGUAGGGAAUCUUCCGCAAUGGGCGAAAGCCUGACGGAGCAACGCCGCGUGAGUGAUGAAGGUCUUCGGAUCGUAAAACUCUGUUAUUAGGGAAGAACAAAUGUGUAAGUAACUAUGCACGUCUUGACGGUACCUAAUCAGAAAGCCACGGCUAACUACGUG
This 496-nucleotide ribosomal RNA is filed under the name uncultured bacterium. RNAcentral describes it as "partial 16S ribosomal RNA". It matches the Rfam family "Bacterial small subunit ribosomal RNA", at positions 29 to 507 of the family's 1533-position model. The record is from RNAcentral.